This is a small nucleolar RNA of Neogale vison (American mink), 153 nucleotides long. The record is from Ensembl. Lineage: Eukaryota; Metazoa; Chordata; Mammalia; Carnivora; Mustelidae.
CCUCUACAUUGUUAGAGCUUGGAGUUGAGGCCACUGCCUGGCCAGUGAACUUGCAAGUGUGGGUAGUACUACACGAGGAGGGGCAAAUCUUUUGCUCACAAGGGGCUCUGUUUGGCCCAGUCAAUGAAUGUUAUAGUAAUUCUUACUGCAAGU